RNAcentral lists this long non-coding RNA (231 nucleotides) under Homo sapiens (human). RNAcentral's name for it is "non-protein coding lnc-LRP5-1:6". The record is from RNAcentral. Lineage: Eukaryota; Metazoa; Chordata; Mammalia; Primates; Hominidae.
GCCUCCCCGGGGCCGGCUCGGGCCACUUCUUGCGCGCUGCCAGAAGGAGCUAUUUUGAGCAGUCCUUCUGACCCUCGUGGCUUCUCCUGCUCCAAGGCCAAGCUCGGGACCCUGUCAUCAUCCCCGGGGACAGGCCCCAUCUUAGAGAGGAUCCACCCAGCUCCCCGCUCCUGAGCCAUCUUCCAGCUAUCCCGCCUCGAGACUCCCACCGCACCUGCUCCUGGGCUGCAG